GCGGAUGUGGUGUAGCGGCAACACAGAAUCUUGCCAAGAUUCAAUCAUGGGUUCAAAUCCCGUCUUUCGCU
This 71-nucleotide transfer RNA is filed under the name Gloeobacterales cyanobacterium ES-bin-313. It matches the Rfam family "tRNA". Rfam says of the family: Transfer RNA (tRNA) molecules are approximately 80 nucleotides in length. Their secondary structure includes four short double-helical elements and three loops (D, anti-codon, and T loops). Lineage: Bacteria; Bacillati; Cyanobacteriota; Cyanophyceae; Gloeobacterales. The record is from Rfam by way of RNAcentral.